GUGGGGAAUCUUCCGCAAUGGACGAAAGUCUGACGGAGCAACGCCGCGUGAGUGAUGAAGGUCUUCGGACUGUAAAGCUCUGUUGUUUGGGACGAAAGUGCCUGUUGCGAACAGUUACGGGUAUUGACGGUACUAAACGAGGAAGCCACGGCUAACUACGUGCCAGCAGCCGCGGUAAUACGUAGGUGGCAAGCGUUGUCGGGAAUUAUUGGGCGUACAGAGCAGGUAGGCGGGAAUCUAAGUCUGUUGUUAAAAUGCGGGGCUCAACCCCGUAUUGCGAUGGAAACUGGGUUUCUUGAGUGCAGGAGAGGAAAGGGGAAUUCCCAGUGUAGCGGUGAAAUGCGUAGAUAUUGGGAGGAACACCAGUGGCGAAGGCGCCUUUCUGGACUGUGUCUGACGCUGAGAUGCGAAAGCCAGGGUAGCGAACGGGAUUAGAAACCCCGGUAGUCC
This 450-nucleotide ribosomal RNA is filed under the name uncultured bacterium. RNAcentral describes it as "partial 16S ribosomal RNA". It matches the Rfam family "Bacterial small subunit ribosomal RNA", at positions 354 to 796 of the family's 1533-position model. The record is from RNAcentral.